RNAcentral lists this ribosomal RNA (586 nucleotides) under Laboulbenia systenae. RNAcentral's name for it is "partial large subunit ribosomal RNA". It matches the Rfam family "Eukaryotic large subunit ribosomal RNA", at positions 73 to 657 of the family's 3401-position model. The record is from RNAcentral. Lineage: Eukaryota; Fungi; Ascomycota; Laboulbeniomycetes; Laboulbeniales; Laboulbeniaceae.
GAUUGCCCCAGUAACGGCGAGUGAACCGGCAACUGCUCAAAUUUGAAAUCCGGCGCAAGCCCGAGUUGUAAUUUGCAGAGGACGCUUCGGCCCCGCGGUCGCCCCUCAAGUGCCCUGGAAAGGGACGCCAGGGAGGGUGAUAGCCCCGUCAGGGGGGGUUGACCCGGGGUCGUGUGAAGUCUCCUCGAAGAGUCGAGUUGUUUGGGAAUGCAGCUCUAAAGCGGGAGGUAAAUUCCUUCCAAAGCUAAAUACCGGCCAAGGACCGAUAGCGCACAAGUAGAGUGAUCGAAAGAUGAAAAGCACUUUGGAAAGAGAGUCAAACAGUACGUGAAAUUGUUGAGAGGGAAGCGUUUGCGAUCAGACGCGUCGGGGAUCGGCUCACCCUGGCCCGCGUGGCCGGGGGCACUCCCUCCCCCGACGAGCCAGCAUCGGCCCGGACGGCGGCAGGAUCCGACGGGGAACGUGACUCCCUCGCGGAGUGUUACAGCCCCGCCGGACCACCCCACCGCCCGUGCGGGCCGAGGCAGGCGCAUCCCCUUUGGGGUGCUCGGAUGCUGGCGUAAUGGUCGUAAGCGGCCCGUCUUGA